Molecule: long non-coding RNA, 624 nt
Filed under: Vigna radiata
Lineage: Eukaryota; Viridiplantae; Streptophyta; Magnoliopsida; Fabales; Fabaceae
Description: long non-coding RNA (VRAD_LNC004686)
Source: RNAcentral
CACUCUUCUCUUUUUUUUAUUCUCUUAUUAUUCUUUUGUUUCUUUUAUCUCUAAAAAAUAUUUUGGGUUUAUUUUAUUAUCUCUUUAGAGAUCCCUGGAGGGCUUGCGCAUACACAGCGGAUAAGUCCUUAAGGACACUGGUCUACACACCUCAAGAAAUCUUUUGUUCGUGAUCUUUAUUCUUUUAUUGUCAACUUCUACAACAAUCUUAAGGACUUAUUGCUGACAACAACUCAAUCCCAGAGAAUCAGAAUAUUGUUUCCGAAACUCAGACGGUCUUCGCCAAACCUUUCCCAGAUGUAUCAAAAAUCGAAGUCUUCUCUAGUCAGAAUUUUCGGCGUUGGCAAGAACGUGUGUCAACCCUGUUAGAGAUGUACGGAGUCACCUUUGCUCUUUCAUUCGGACUUCAGUCUCCGUCCAAAUUCAAAACAAGUUGAAGAUUGGGUUCAUGCAAACAAGGUAUGCCAUCAUACUUUACUUAGUGCACUCUUUAACGAUUUGUUUGAUGUGUACGCUUCUUAUAAGGAAGCGAAAGACAUUUGGGAUUCGUUGAUUCUCAAAUACACUGUUAAAUAUUUUUAACAGAUUGGCAAGCGUACCAAAUCGUAUCAAGUAAUAAUAAAU